AAGUAACAUUCACAUUAGACCUAUUCAAACACAAUGAAGCAGAACAGUGUGGCAACUGCCGACGCCAUUGAUUAUGCAAUGUAAGGCAUAUUUCUUGCAAAUUUCACGAUUUUUUUUCGAAUUUCUACGAACUCGCAAUGGUUUUUUCUAAUACAAAGCUCUGCAGCAUUUUUACCACGUGAUCAACGAGGCCGCACCUUUCCAUUUUGACUUUUAAAUUUCCUUUACGGCACGAGGUGUGGAGACAUUCACAUUCACCAGGUGAAAUCGCUUGUGGCCUUGUGUUACUUGGGAAACUUUGUCAUUGAAGAAGCUUUUUGCAGCAAAUCAUGCAAAGAUUUGGCCUGCUGUCGCAGUUUGGGAACUUCCAGAUAACUCUGCCUAAUCUAUCUAGUAAAAUAAAAAUUUUGCAUCUCCCUUCCGCUAGCAAAAAUUGCACAGGCUGCUCCAAUCACUCAUCAGAACGCCAGACAAGUAAGGCUCGGCCACACGUCUAUCGGAUAGUGUUUUGAAUUUCGGUGUUGUUCUAUCGGAUUUGGAUGAAUCUCUUUUUUUGUCCCAUGGGUAUUAACUUUGGUUUUGGCUUCUAAUCGGUACAUGGAAAAAAAAUCAUAAAUAAACAAACCGUUAAAAAAUUCCAAAAGUUUCAUACCCCGAUUAUCGCUUUUUGCCCCGACUUCUAUCCAAUUUCUUAUCUAGAAAUUUGAUUAUGGUUCAAAGAUUAUGUAACAGGUUGCAUUUUUUAUUUUCGAGAGACAAGAACAAAAGGAAUGAAGCAAAAGUUCUUCAAUUUUUUAGUGUAAAAAGUUGUAGUUAGGGAUCGGCCCCGACCCUAAUCGGGGUGCAUUUUGCCAAUCGGGUUUAGAAAUUCGGGGCUCGGGGUGAACAUCUUUGAACCCCGAUCUCAAUAGGGGUUGUAUCGGGGUGACUAAUCGGGGAUGCAACCCCGAUUGCAAUCAAUCGAGCGACGUAAAAACAUAAUCGAUCGAAUUGAAAUCGAUUAUUAUGAUGAAAAUUGGGGAGUUCGCCCCGGUUGCUCCCAUAAAAACCCGACCCAAAUCGUAGUUUGAAUUCAGGGGCCAUUUUUGCAAAUGGCGUCGGGGCAAGCUGGUUAACAUCGAUUUUUGCCCCACCCCGCCCUUGCUGACGAAGUGGCACCCCGAUUCAGCCCCGAUUGCUUUUUCCCGGGGCGGGGCGGUUAACCCGAUUAUGGCUAAUCGGGGCCGAUCGCUAGUUGUAGUUCUUGUUUUGAGAGGCUAGCAUGAAAAAAAUAACGCAACAGUGCUUAAAUUGACAUCCAACGUUGCCACUUACAUUUAUCACAACUCCAUCUCGUUCAGGUACCUGAACUCUACCAGAGUUAUAUCUAUAGGCAGAGUCAUAGAACCCUGGUUGGUUCACGCUGAGAGGAAUCCCUAUACCGCGUUUCGUUGGUCUGUAUGUCUAAAAUUUCGAUGGUUUUGGGGCGGGGCAUAGUGGUUUGAACUAGAAUCAGAGUCAUCUAUCGAGAAAAACUGAGUUAUUCAACGGCCAUUGUCGGUGUUUCUUUUCAAGCUUCAAUUUUGCUGGUGUCGUCUGCUCCUUCGUUUCCCUUAUCACUGUUGUGAUUGGCUGUUGAAGUUUUCAAACAUGUUUCCUGAUUGAUGCAUUCAUCACACACCCGCUGGAGGUGUGACCCCGAUUGAGAUCAGGGUUCACAAAUUUCCCCCCCGAGCCCUAAACACUCCGCCCUGAGUUUCGAAACCCGAUUGGAAAAAUGCGCCCCGAUUAGGGUCGGGACCGAUCCCUAGUCACAGGGCUUAGCGACAUCUUUUUUCGCAUUUGAUUCUAUCGCGCAACGCAUUAUUCGACGGCCAAUUCUGUCUGCUAUAACUGUAUUUUAAUAAAUUUUUAACCAAUUGUUUUCCCGAUUAUGAUUUUCAUUGGGGCAGGAAAUUCCCUGAGACCCGUCAAACCAUUGAGAGAUCCUUUUAAAGUGACCAUUUAACAGAAAUGAUACUUUUUGAUGAGGGCUAUCCAUUUCCGUAAAAUUUUUCUAUUCCAUAUUUACAUUUUUACGGAUAACGUUAAGUUAUUAAUACAUAUUAUACGUAGUAUAUAGGAUAUAUAGGAUGUAAAUGCAUAGGGAUAUAUAUAAUAUAUAGGACGUAAUAUAUAGGAAUAAUACGUAUUAUAUAUUUUAUACCAAUAAUACGUAGUAACACGUAAACUGUUUACGGAUUAAAUGUGAAGUAUUGAAUCGUUAAAGAACCGGAAAAGAAUCGAUUCUUUGGAAGGCCCUAUCCUUUAGUAUUGGUGUAUUUAUCGUCUGCACGUCAACAAGGUGUCUGAGACGGCGUCUUAACGUGCAGACGAUAAAUCACCCAAAAGAGUGCAUACCCUUAAUGCUUAAGGCCUGUAAACUCGUAUACCUCCUAUGGCGGUGACGCGUUACCUGGCAACAAGGCCAACAACUAAUCAUUGGAAAAACAAGGGUUACGACGACACCAUCUGGCGCUCGCUAUUGCUACUGCUUCGAAAACCUAAAUGCAAGAUUAAGCAAAAACAGGGUUUCCUUGUAUUUUUUAAUUAAGAGUAUCUUAGAAUCCUUAACUUUUAGUUAAAGAAUUCCAGUAAGUGUAGAAAAUUACCUCUUUGAAAAAGAUUUGUGUCCACUAAGUAAUAUUUUCAUCAUUACAUUUCAACAUUUCAAUCGAAUUUGCAUCGGUAUUGGGAUGGUGGAUAAGGACUCCGUCUAGAGAUUUAUGGAUAUGAGUAUGUCGGUUGAAGUCUAUAUUAUUGUAAGGAUCCGCCGACCAAAUCAAAAUUCAAACGGUAAAAUUUAACGCGUUGCUUUUAUUGCCCUGUUUUGACCCCAAAUUUGUUGCCCCGAAUGACCGACUUUCUACUUUUAUUACUCUAACGGUAAAGUCAGCCUUCUUCCGCCGACCUUAUAUUUUUGAACACGCCUGACCUCGUUUGACUUUAAAUUCGACUCUCUGCGUUGCCGUAUAAAAGACGGACAAACUUCACCAGCGAAGGUGGAGUCACCAGUCGAACAGCGAGGCAGUCAGUGAGUCAGUCUUCCUCCCUCCGUCUGUUACCUUUUCCCUUUUGUUUUUGCCGCUGUGUUUUGAAAUGUAAUUGGUGUCAAAUUUAAAUAAACAUCAUCACCCCAAUUGUUUCAUUAUGUCAUGUUAUCAAUGUGAGUAAAAUUUUAUAAAUUUUUAAUUUUAUCUCUAAGUGAAAAUGUUUAAUCCGUUUAUAGAUUUUUUCCCUAAGUGAUUAAUUCAGUUAACUACAAGAACAAGAAGUAAAUUUUUCAUUAACAUGAUAAUAAAACUUAUAUAUUUUUUACAUACUAUUUUUUUCUUUUAAACAACUCAAUUGACAUCUUGCUGUCAAACUAGCACACUUUUCAUUUCAAAAAUUUGAUUUCCUUUUGUUUUAUCUUUAUUCAUGUGUUUAUGUAACUAUAACAAGUGUUAAAGUUUUUUUGGGGUAUUUUUCAACGAGGCUAUAAUUGCGAGCGCCAGAUGGUGUCGUCGUAACCCUUCGUAACCCUUUUUUUGCAACAUGGUCUCCACGUACGUACGCAGAGGUCCGUACCAGAAAACGGCACCAUUUCCAGGGUUUUCAUUGGCUCAGUGGGAUGGUCACGUGACCAUUCUUUCAAGCCACGCAGUGGUGGGUAGGCCCCUAGUCCCUACCCCCGAAAUCUCAGCAGCCGCCGUCGCAUUUGAACCGGCAAUUGUUUUGUUUUUUCGUUUAUUGUCAUUUUCGUUUUUAAUGGCGGAUUGCUGUCAUUUAAAAUGAAUAAAUUUAUUACUUUUGGAAAAGGGCCGACUGCUCGUGAAGAGAACGAUGGAAUUUAUAGAUUCGGCUGGGAAACUUGUCGAGAAAGCUUUUUUGCUUUUUUAGAUAAACUGACAGGAGAGUUUGGUACCUUCUCAAACAGGCAUAAUUUCAAUCUAAUAGA
Molecule: long non-coding RNA, 3958 nt
Organism: Daphnia magna
Lineage: Eukaryota; Metazoa; Arthropoda; Branchiopoda; Diplostraca; Daphniidae
Exons: 4
Source: RefSeq, a predicted model, not a curated record